Molecule: ribosomal RNA, 650 nt
Filed under: uncultured Lachnospiraceae bacterium
Lineage: Bacteria; Bacillati; Bacillota; Clostridia; Lachnospirales; Lachnospiraceae
Description: bacterial SSU rRNA
Rfam family: Bacterial small subunit ribosomal RNA
Source: RNAcentral
UUAACACAUGCAAGUCGAGCGAAGCAGUUAAGUUGAUUUCUUCGGAUUGAUUCUUAACUGACUGAGCGGCGGACGGGUGAGUAACGCGUGGGUGACCUGCCCCGUACCGGGGGAUAACAGCUGGAAACGGCUGCUAAUACCGCAUAAGCGCACAGAGCUGCAUGGCUCGGUGUGAAAAACUCCGGUGGUAUGGGAUGGGCCCGCGUCUGAUUAGGCAGUUGGCGGGGUAACGGCCCACCAAACCGACGAUCAGUAGCCGGCCUGAGAGGGCGACCGGCCACAUUGGGACUGAGACACGGCCCAAACUCCUACGGGAGGCAGCAGUGGGGAAUAUUGCACAAUGGGGGAAACCCUGAUGCAGCGACGCCGCGUGAGCGAAGAAGUAUUUCGGUAUGUAAAGCUCUAUCAGCAGGGAAGAUAAUGACGGUACCUGACUAAGAAGCCCCGGCUAACUACGUGCCAGCAGCCGCGGUAAUACGUAGGGGGCAAGCGUUAUCCGGAUUUACUGGGUGUAAAGGGAGCGUAGACGGCAAGGCAAGUCUGAUGUGAAAACCCAGGGCUUAACCCUGGGACUGCAUUGGAAACUGUCUGGCUCGAGUGCCGGAGAGGUAAGCGGAAUUCCUAGUGUAGCGGUGAAAUGCGUAGAUAUU